UACAGAGGUGGCAAGCGUUGUUCGGAAUUACUGGGCGUAAAGGGCGCGUAGGCGGCCGUUCAAGUCGGGGGUGAAAGCCUGUGGCUCAACCACAGAAUUGCCUUCGAUACUGGACGGCUCGAGACCGGAAGAGGUCAGUGGAACUGCGAGUGUAGAGGUGAAAUUCGUAGAUAUUCGCAAGAACACCAGUGGCGAAGGCGGCUGACUGGUCCGGUUCUGACGCUAAGGCGCGAAAGCGUGGGGAGCAAACAGG
RNAcentral lists this ribosomal RNA (253 nucleotides) under uncultured bacterium. RNAcentral describes it as "partial 16S ribosomal RNA". It matches the Rfam family "Bacterial small subunit ribosomal RNA", at positions 524 to 776 of the family's 1533-position model. The record is from RNAcentral.